Long non-coding RNA from Salmo trutta (river trout), 8130 nucleotides. Lineage: Eukaryota; Metazoa; Chordata; Actinopteri; Salmoniformes; Salmonidae. The record is from Ensembl.
AUGUGUCUUUUCAGAUUCCACAAUGAUUCUUUAGUUGUGGUCAUUACAUCACCACACUCCCUCUCUUCUUUGUUGUGGACAUUACAUCACCACACUCCCUCUCUUCUUUGUUGUGGUCAUUACAUCACAACACUCCCUCUCUUCUUUGUUGUGGUCAUUACAUCACCAAACUCCCUCUCUUCUUUGUUGUGGUCAUUACAUCACCACACUCCCUCUCUUCUUUGUUGUGGUCAUUACAUCACCACACUCCCUCUCUUCUUUGUUGUGGUCAUUACAUCACCACACUCCCUCUCUUCUUUGUUGUGGUCAUUACAUCACCACACUCCCUCUCUUCUUUGUUGUGGUCAUUACAUCACCACACUCCCUCUCUUCUUUGUUGUGGUCAUUACAUCACCACACUCCCUCUCUUCUUUGUUGUGGUCAUUACAUCACCACACUCCCUCUCUUCUUUGUUGUGGACAUUACAUCACCACACUCCCUCUCUUCUUUGUUGUGGUCAUUACAUCACCACACUCCCUCUCUUCUUUGUUGUGGUCAUUACAUCACCACACUCCCUCUCUUCUUUGUUGUGGUCAUUACAUCACCACACUCCCUCUCUUCUUUGUUGUGGACAUUACAUCACCACACUCCCUCUCUUCUUUGUUGUGGUCAUUACAUCACCACACUCACUCUCUUCUUUGUUGUGGUCAUUACAUCACCACACUCCCUCUCUUCUUUGUUGUGGUCAUUACAUCACCACACUCACUCUCUUCUUUGUUGUGGUCAUUACAUCACCACACUCCCUCUCUUCUUUGUUGUGGUCAUUACAUCACCACACUCACUCUCUUCUUUGUUGUGGUCAUUACAUCACCACACUCCCUCUCUUCUUUGUUGUGGACAUUACAUCACCACACUCCCUCUCUUCUUUGUUGUGGACAUUACAUCACCACACUCCCUCUCUUCUUUGUUGUGGUCAUUACAUCACCACACUCCCUCUCUUCUUUGUUGUGGACAUUACAUCACCACACUCCCUCUCUUCUUUGUUGUGGUCAUUACAUCACCACACUCCCUCUCUUCUUUGUUGUGGACAUUACAUCACCACACUCCCUCUCUUCUUUGUUGUGGUCAUUACAUCACCACACUCCCUCUCUUCUUUGUUGUGGACAUUACAUCACCACACUCCCUCUCUUCUUUGUUGUGGACAUUACAUCACCACACUCCCUCUCUUCUUUGUUGUGGUCAUUACAUCACCACACUCCCUCUCUUCUUUGUUGUGGUCAUUACAUCACCACACUCCCUCUCUUCUUUGUUGUGGUCAUUACAUCACCACACUCCCUCUCUUCUUUGUUGUGGUCAUUACAUCACCACACUCCCUCUCUUCUUUGUUGUGGACAUUACAUCACCACACUCCCUCUCUUCUUUGUUGUGGUCAUUACAUCACCACACUCCCUCUCUUCUUUGUUGUGGUCAUACAUCACCACACUCCCUCUCUUCUUUGUUGUGGUCAUUACAUCACCACACUCCCUCUCUUCUUUGUUGUGGUCAUUACAUCACCACACUCCCUCUCUUCUUUGUUGUGGUCAUUACAUCACCACACUCCCUCUCUUCUUUGUUGUGGACAUUACAUCACCACACUCCCUCUCUUCUUUGUUGUGGUCAUUACAUCACCACACUCCCUCUCUUCUUUGUUGUGGACAUUACAUCACCACACUCCCUCUCUUCUUUGUUGUGGUCAUUACAUCACCACACUCCCUCUCUUCUUUGUUGUGGUCAUUACAUCACCACACUCCCUCUCUUCUUUGUUGUGGUCAUUACAUCACCACACUCCCUCUCUUCUUUGUUGUGGACAUUACAUCACCACACUCCCUCUCUUCUUGUUGUGGACAUUACAUCACCACACUCCCUCUCUUCUUUGUUGUGGUCAUUACAUCACCACACUCCCUCUCUUCUUUGUUGUGGACAUUACAUCACCACACUCCCUCUCUUCUUUGUUGUGGUCAUUACAUCACCACACUCCCUCUCUUCUUUGUUGUGGUCAUUACAUCACCAAACUCCCUCUCUUCUUUGUUGUGGUCAUUACAUCACCACACUCCCUCUCUUCUUUGUUGUGGACAUUACAUCACCACACUCCCUCUCUUCCUUGUUGUGGUCAUUACAUCACCACACUCCCUCUCUUCUUUGUUGUGGACAUUACAUCACCACACUCCCUCUCUUCUUUGUUGUGGACAUUACAUCACCACACUAACCACACUCUCUCUUCUUUGUUGUGGACAUUACAUCCCCACACUCCCUCUCUUCUUUGUUGUGGACAUUACAUCACCACACUCCCUUCUUCUUUGUUGUGGACAUUACAUCACCACACUCCCUCUCUUCUUUGUUGUGGUCAUUACAUCACCACACUCCCUCUCUUCUUUGUUGUGGACAUUACAUCACCACACUCCCUCUCUUCUUUGUUGUGGUCAUUACAUCACCACACUCCCUCUCUUCUUUGUUGUGGACAUUACAUCACCACACUCCCUCUCUUCUUUGUUGUGGACAUUACAUCACCACACUCCCUCUCUUCUUUGUUGUGGUCAUUACAUCACCACACUCCCUCUCUUCUUUGUUGUGGUCAUUACAUCACCACACUCCCUCUCUUCUUUGUUGUGGUCAUUAUAUCACCACACUCCCUCUCUUCUUUGUUGUGGUCAUUACAUCACCACACUCCCUCUCUUCUUUGUUGUGGUCAUUACAUCACCACACUCCCUCUCUUCUUUGUUGUGGUCAUUACAUCACCACACUCCCUCUCUUCUUUGUUGUGGUCAUUACAUCACCACACUCCCUCUCUUCUUUGUUGUGGUCAUUACAUCACCACACUCCCUCUCUUCUUUGUUGUGGUCAUUACAUCACCACACUCCCUCUCUUCUUUGUUGUGGUCAUUACAUCACCACACUCCCUCUCUUCUUUGUUGUGGUCAUUACAUCACCACACUCCCUCUCUUCUUUGUUGUGGUCAUUACAUCACCACACUCCCUCUCUUCUUUGUUGUGGUCAUUACAUCACCACACUCCCUCUCUUCUUUGUUGUGGACAUUACAUCACCACACUCCCUCUCUUCUUUGUUGUGGUCAUUACAUCACCACACUCCCUCUCUUCUUUGUUGUGGUCAUUACAUCACCACACUCCCUCUCUUCUUUGUUGUGGACAUUACAUCACCACACUGCCCUCUCUUCUUUGUUGUGGUCAUUACAUCACCACACUCCCUCUCUUCUUUGUUGUGGACAUUACAUCACCACACUCCCUCUCUUCUUUGUUGUGGACAUUACAUCACCACACUCCCUCUCUUCUUUGUUGUGGACAUUACAUCACCACACUCCCUCUCUUCUUUGUUGUGGACAUUACAUCACCACACUCCCUCUCUUCUUUGUUGUGGACAUUACAUCACCACACUCCCUCUCUUCUUUGUUGUGGUCAUUACAUCACCACACUCCCUCUCUUCUUUGUUGUGGACAUUACAUCACCACACUCCCUCUCUUCUUUGUUGUGGUCAUUACAUCACCACACUCUCUCUCUUCUUUGUUGUGGUCAUUACAUCACCACACUCCCUCUCUUCUUUGUUGUGGACAUUACAUCACCACACUCCCUCUCUUCUUUGUUGUGGACAUUACAUCACCACACUCCCUCUCUUCUUUGUUGUGGACAUUACAUCACCACACUCCCUUCUUCUUUGUUGUGGACAUUACAUCACCACACUCCCUCUCUUCUUUGUUGUGGUCAUUACAUCACCACACUCUCUCUCUUCUUUGUUGUGGUCAUUACAUCACCACACUCCCUCUCUUCUUUGUUGUGGACAUUACAUCACCACACUCCCUCUCUUCUUUGUUGUGGUCAUUACAUCACCACACUCCCUCUCUUCUUUGUUGUGGACAUUACAUCACCACACUCCCUCUCUUCUUUGUUGUGGUCAUUACAUCACCACACUCCCUCUCUUCUUUGUUGUGGACAUUACAUCACCACACUCCCUCUCUUCUUUGUUGUGGACAUUACAUCACCACACUGCCCUCUCUUCUUUGUUGUGGACAUUACAUCACCACACUCCCUCUCUUCUUUGUUGUGGUCAUUACAUCACCACACUCCCUCUCUUCUUUGUUGUGGACAUUACAUCACCACACUCCCUCUCUUCUUUGUUGUGGACAUUACAUCACCACACUCCCUCUCUUCUUUGUUGUGGUCAUUACAUCACCACACUCCCUCUCUUCUUUGUUGUGGUCAUUACAUCACCACACUCCCUCUCUUCUUUGUUGUGGACAUUACAUCACCACACUCCCUCUCGUCUUUGUUGUGGACAUUACAUCACCACACUCCCUCUCUUCUUUGUUGUGGUCAUUACAUCACCACACUCCCUCUCUUCUUUGUUGUGGUCAUUACAUCACCACACUCCCUCUCUUCUUUGUUGUGGUCAUUACAUCACCACACUCCCUCUCUUCUUUGUUGUGGUCAUUACAUCACCACACUCCCUCUCUUCUUUGUUGUGGUCAUUACAUCACCACACUCCCUCUCUUCUUUGUUGUGGUCAUUACAUCACCACACUCCCUCUCUUCUUUGUUGUGAUCAUUACAUCACCACACUCCCUCUCUUCUUUGUUGUGGUCAUUACAUCACCACACUCCCUCUCUUCUUUGUUGUGGUCAUUACAUCACCACACUCCCUCUCUUCUUUGUUGUGGACAUUACAUCACCACACUCCCUCUCUUCUUUGUUGUGGUCAUUACAUCACCACACUCCCUCUCUUCUUUGUUGUGGUCAUUACAUCACCACACUCCCUCUCUUCUUUGUUGUGGACAUUACAUCACCACACUCCCUCUCUUCUUUGUGUGUACAUCACCACACUCCCUCUCUUCUUUGUUGUGGUCAUUACAUCACCACACUCCCUCUCUUCUUUGUUGUGGUCAUUACAUCACCACACUCCCUCUCUUCUUUGUUGUGGUCAUUACAUCACCACACUCCCUCUCUUCUUUGUUGUGGUCAUUACAUCACCACACUCCCUCUCUUCUUUGUUGUGGACAUUACAUCACCACACUCCCUCUCUUCUUUGUUGUGGUCAUUACAUCACCACACUCCCUCUCUUCUUUGUUGUGGUCAUUACAUCACCACACUCCCUCUCUUCUUUGUUGUGGACAUUACAUCACCACACUCCCUCUCUUCUUUGUUGUGGUCAUUACAUCACCACACUCCCUCUCUUCUUUGUUGUGGACAUUACAUCACCACACUCCCUCUCUUCUUUGUUGUGGACAUUACAUCACCACACUGCCCUCUCUUCUUUGUUGUGGACAUUACAUCACCACACUCCCUCUCUUCUUUGUUGUGGUCAUUACAUCACCACACUCCCUCUCUUCUUUGUUGUGGACAUUACAUCACCACACUCCCUCUCUUCUUUGUUGUGGACAUUACAUCACCACACUCCCUCUCUUCUUUGUUGUGGUCAUUACAUCACCACACUCCCUCUCUUCUUUGUUGUGGUCAUUACAUCACCACACUCCCUCUCUUCUUUGUUGUGGACAUUACAUCACCACACUCCCUCUCGUCUUUGUUGUGGACAUUACAUCACCACACUCCCUCUCUUCUUUGUUGUGGUCAUUACAUCACCACACUCUCUCUCUUCUUUGUUGUGGUCAUUACAUCACCACACUCCCUCUCUUCUUUGUUGUGGUCAUUACAUCACCACACUCCCUCUCUUCUUUGUUGUGGUCAUUACAUCACCACACUCCCUCUCUUCUUUGUUGUGGUCAUUACAUCACCACACUCCCUCUCUUCUUUGUUGUGGUCAUUACAUCACCACACUCCCUCUCUUCUUUGUUGUGAUCAUUACAUCACCACACUCCCUCUCUUCUUUGUUGUGGUCAUUACAUCACCACACUCCCUCUCUUCUUUGUUGUGGUCAUUACAUCACCACACUCCCUCUCUUCUUUGUUGUGGACAUUACAUCACCACACUCCCUCUCUUCUUUGUUGUGGUCAUUACAUCACCACAUUCCCUCUCUUCUUUGUUGUGGUCAUUACAUCACCACACUCCCUCUCUUCUUUGUUGUGGACAUUACAUCACCACACUCCCUCUCUUCUUUGUUGUGGUCAUUACAUCACCACACUCCCUCUCUUCUUUGUUGUGGUCAUUACAUCACCACACUCCCUCUCUUCUUUGUUGUGGUCAUUACAUCACCACACUCCCUCUCUUCUUUGUUGUGGUCAUUACAUCACCACACUCCCUCUCUUCUUUGUUGUGGUCAUUACAUCACCACACUCCCUCUCUUCUUUGUUGUGGACAUUACAUCACCACACUUUGGUCACACUCCCUCUCUUCUUUGUUGUGGUCAUUACAUCACCACACUCCCUCUCUUCUUUGUUGUGGUCAUUACAUCACCACACUCCCUCUCUUCUUUGUUGUGGACAUUACAUCACCACACUCCCUCUCUUCUUUGUUGUGGUCAUUACAUCACCACACUCCCUCUCUUCUUUGUUGUGGACAUUACAUCACCACACUCCCUCUCUUCUUUGUUGUGGUCAUUACAUCACCACACUCCCUCUCUUCUUUGUUGUGGUCAUUACAUCACCACACUCCCUCUCUUCUUUGUUGUGGUCAUUACAUCACCACACUCCCUCUCUUCUUUGUUGUGGUCAUUACAUCACCACACUCCCUCUCUUCUUCGUUGUGGUCAUUACAUCACCACACUCCCUCUCUUCUUUGUUGUGGUCAUUACAUCACCACACUCCCUCUCUUCUUUGUUGUGGUCAUUACAUCACCACACUCCCUCUCUUCUUUGUUGUGGACAUUACAUCACCACACUCCCUCUCUUCUUUGUUGUGGACAUUACAUCACCACACUCCCUCUCUUCUUUGUUGUGGUCAUUACAUCACCACACUCUCUCUCUUCUUUGUUGUGGUCAUUACAUCACCACACUGCCCUCUCUUCUUUGUUGUGGUCAUUACAUCACCACACUCCCUCUCUUCUUUGUUGUGGACAUUACAUCACCACACUCCCUCUCUUCUUUGUUGUGGACAUUACAUCACCACACUCCCUCUCUUCUUUGUUGUGGUCAUUACAUCACCACACUCCCUCUCUUCUUUGUUGUGGACAUUACAUCACCACACUCCCUCUCUUCUUUGUUGUGGUCAUUACAUCACCACACUCCCUCUCUUCUUUGUUGUGGACAUUACAUCACCACACUCCCUCUCUUCUUUGUUGUGGUCAUUACAUCACCACACUCCCUCUCUUCUUUGUUGUGGUCAUUACAUCACCACACUCCCUCUCUUCUUUGUUGUGGACAUUACAUCACCACACUCCCUCUCUUCUUUGUUGUGGACAUUACAUCACCACACUCCCUCUCUUCUUUGUUGUGGACAUUACAUCACCACACUCCCUCUCUUCUUUGUUGUGGUCAUUACAUCACCACACUCCCUCUCUUCUUUGUUGUGGACAUUACAUCACCACACUCCCUCUCUUCUUUGUUGUGGACAUUACAUCACCACACUCCCUCUCUUCUUUGUUGUGGACAUUACAUCACCACACUCCCUCUCUUCUUUGUUGUGGACAUUACAUCACCACACUCCCUCUCUUCUUUGUUGUGGUCAUUACAUCACCACACUCCCUCUCUUCUUUGUUGUGGACAUUACAUCACCACACUCCCUCUCUUCUUUGUUGUGGUCAUUACAUCACCACACUCCCUCUCUUCUUUGUUGUGGUCAUUACAUCACCACACUCCCUCUCUUCUUUGUUGUGGACAUUACAUCACCACACUCCCUCUCUUCUUUGUUGUGGUCAUUACAUCACCACACUCCCUCUCUUCUUUGUUGUGGACAUUACAUCACCACACUCCCUCUCUUCUUUGUUGUGGACAUUACAUCACCACACUCCCUCUCUUCUUUGUUGUGGUCAUUACAUUACCACACUCCCUCUCUUCUUUGUUGUGGUCAUUACAUCACCACACUCCCUCUCUUCUUUGUUGUGGUCAUUACAUCACCACACUCCCUCUCUUCUUUGUUGUGGUCAUUACAUCACCACACUCCCUCUCUUCUUUGUUGUGGACAUUACAUCACCACACUCCCUCUCUUCUUUGUUGUGGACAUUACAUCACCACACUCCCUCUCUUGCUCUUGGUCCUCAUCUUUGUAAGUCACCUUGA